GCGCAAUAUUCGGGUGGGAGUGACCCGAUUUUCCAGGUAGAGACACUUUUGACUUGAUCUCUGCAGUCCUCAACAUGGAAAUUUCUUUUAGAAUGUAAUAAAUGCUUAAAGAAGAAUUAUACUGUGAGUAGAACAGCAUGCAGCCUGGCACUUAGCAAGUGAUCGAGAAAUAAUUCAUGAGUGAAUGAAUGAACAGAUGACAGAUGUAACCAAAAAUCAAAACUAAAAUCACUUCUGAAGUCGAGGAUGCACUUCUCAGCAUUUUUCUCAUCUGGAUUUAACAUAGAUCUGUUCUCACACAAACAUCUGUGGAAUGAGCCUGGACAUUGCUACGGAGGGCUGGUUAGAGGAGGAGGAAAGAAAGAAUAAUGGCUAAUCAUUAAGUUGCAGUGUGGGUGUUUGGUUGGGAAGAACCAGCUGGCGGAGGAAUGGAUACUACCUCUGACUCAGAGACAUGGGCAGUGACCCCUAUUGUCUGGCCAAGAAGGAGUCACAUGUCUUUGGUGACUUCUUUGUUUACACUCAGAGUUUAACUAUGAGGCAGAAAUGGUUUCUUUGCCAAAGUCUACAUUUGAUGAAACAUGGCUAAUUUUAAUUUUAGAGCUGAGCUUGGACCUUUCUUCUAGUCAUUGCUCCAAAGUGGUGCUUACGGGAAAGGAGAGUAUUCUUCAUGAUCAGCUCUGUCUUACAUUCAAGUGCAGUCAGGCACGGAGGGACUAGAGCAUCGGCCCUAGGCCACAGCUGGAAAGUCCUCUGCGUUGCUCAACAGGGGUCACAAAGCAAACUGAGAUCAUACGUGGGCAAAGGAAAAAAGAGAAGGCAAAACAUUCAAAAUCUCAAACAUUUGAAACCAGAUUUCAGUUGAAAUAUAUAAGUUAAUCAGUAUCAAGCAAAAAUGUCAGUCCCCAGAAAGCCAGUCUCUCCUUCACAUUUAUGUAAAUACAGUUUGGGUUCUGAUAUCAUUGGCUGCUGAAUUUAAUAUUGAGACAAAGUGUAGUAGAGUAAAAGGCCUCCCAAAGCCACUUAUUCCACUCAUUCAGUCAAAAGAAAUUUACUAAAUGCUUUCCUUGUGAGCAACGCACUAAGCCAAGUUAUGGCACUUCACUCUGUCAGCUUUCAAACGCACCAUCCUAACACCAUCACCAUAAACAACAUCAUCACCAGAACCAUCAUCAUCACCAUCAUUAUCACCACUGUCAUAAUAACCAAUACCAUUCCCAUUACCCAACACCCCCAUCACCAUCACCAUUCCCAUCCCAGCACCUUCAUUAUCACCAUCCCCAUC
Molecule: long non-coding RNA, 1285 nt
Filed under: Homo sapiens (human)
Lineage: Eukaryota; Metazoa; Chordata; Mammalia; Primates; Hominidae
Description: HSALNT0309551
Source: RNAcentral